GUCUAUACAUGCAGUCGAGCGCAGGAAGCAAGCGGAUCCCCUUCGGGGGUGAUGCUUGUGGAAUGAGCGGCGGACGGGUGAGUAACACGUGGGCAACCUGCCUGUAAGACUGGGAUAACCCCGGGAAACCGGGGCUAAUACCGGGUAAUACCUGACUCCGCAUGGAGUCGGGUUGAAAGAUGGCUUCUCGCUAUCACUUACAGAUGGGCCCGCGGCGCAUUAGCUAGUUGGUGAGGUAACGGCUCACCAAGGCGACGAUGCGUAGCCGACCUGAGAGGGUGAUCGGCCACACUGGGACUGAGACACGGCCCAGACUCCUACGGGAGGCAGCAGUAGGGAAUCUUCCGCAAUGGACGAAAGUCUGACGGAGCAACGCCGCGUGAACGAUGAAGGUCUUCGGAUCGUAAAGUUCUGUUGUCAGGGAAGAACAAGUACCGUGCGAAUAGAGCGGUACCUUGACGGUACCUGACCAGAAAGCCACGGCUAACUACGUGCCAGCAGCCGCGGUAAUACGUAGGUGGCAAGCGUUGUCCGGAAUUAUUGGGCGUAAAGCGCGCGCAGGCGGUUUCUUAAGUCUGAUGUGAAAGCCCCCGGCUCAACCGGGGAGGGUCAUUGGAAACUGGGGAACUUGAGUACAGAAGAGGAGAGU
RNAcentral lists this ribosomal RNA (649 nucleotides) under Halobacillus sp. HPB31. RNAcentral describes it as "bacterial SSU rRNA". It matches the Rfam family "Bacterial small subunit ribosomal RNA", at positions 46 to 662 of the family's 1533-position model. Lineage: Bacteria; Bacillati; Bacillota; Bacilli; Caryophanales; Bacillaceae. The record is from RNAcentral.